Molecule: ribosomal RNA, 1017 nt
Filed under: uncultured bacterium
Lineage: Bacteria
Description: bacterial SSU rRNA
Rfam family: Bacterial small subunit ribosomal RNA
Source: RNAcentral
AGGAAUAUUGGUCAAUGGGCGUAAGCCUGAACCAGCCAAGUAGCGUGAGGGAAGACUGCCCUAUGGGUUGUAAACCUCUUUUGUGCGGGGAUAAAGUGUGGGACGUGUCCCAUAUUGCAGGUACCGCACGAAUAAGGACCGGCUAAUUCCGUGCCAGCAGCCGCGGUAAUACGGAAGGUCCGAGCGUUAUCCGGAUUUAUUGGGUUUAAAGGGUGCGUAGGCGGUUUGAUAAGUUAGAGGUGAAAUUUCGGGGCUCAACCCUGAACGUGCCUCUAAUACUGUUGAGCUAGAGAGUAGUUGCGGUAGGCGGAAUGUAUGGUGUAGCGGUGAAAUGCUUAGAGAUCAUACAGAACACCGAUUGCGAAGGCAGCUUACCAAACUAUAUCUGACGUUGAGGCACGAAAGCGUGGGGAGCAAACAGGAUUAGAUACCCUGGUAGUCCACGCAGUAAACGAUGAUAACUCGUUGUCGGCGACACACAGUCGGUGACUAAGCGAAAGCGAUAAGUUAUCCACCUGGGGAGUACGUUCGCAAGAAUGAAACUCAAAGGAAUUGACGGGGGCCCGCACAAGCGGAGGAACAUGUGGUUUAAUUCGAUGAUACGCGAGGAACCUUACCCGGGCUUGAAAGUUAGCGACGAUUCUUGAAAGAGGAUUUCCCUUCGGGGCGCGAAACUAGGUGCUGCAUGGUUGUCGUCAGCUCGUGCCGUGAGGUGUCGGGUUAAGUCCCAUAACGAGCGCAACCCCUACCGUUAGUUGCCAUCAGGUGAAGCUGGGCACUCUGGCGGGACUGCCGGUGUAAGCCGAGAGGAAGGUGGGGAUGACGUCAAAUCAGCACGGCCCUUACGUCCGGGGCUACACACGUGUUACAAUGGUAGGUACAGAGGGCAGCUACCCAGCGAUGGGAUGCGAAUCUCGAAAGCCUAUCUCAGUUCGGAUUGGAGGCUGAAACCCGCCUCCAUGAAGUUGGAUUCGCUAGUAAUCGCGCAUCAGCCAUGGCGCGGUGAAUACGUUCCCG